RNAcentral lists this long non-coding RNA (712 nucleotides) under Pongo abelii (Sumatran orangutan). RNAcentral describes it as "lincRNA". Lineage: Eukaryota; Metazoa; Chordata; Mammalia; Primates; Hominidae. The record is from RNAcentral.
AAUGCAAACAUGAGUAACAUGGCCCUGCUCUGGAGACUACUGGGAACACAAACACAGCCAUUUAAGACAUCUUCCUGCUUCUCCUUUCCCUUCCAUCAUGAUUGAAAGUUGUCUGAGGUCUCCCAGCCAUGUGUCCUGUACAGCCUGCGGAACUGUGGUACAGUUGAAGAAAGAGCUCAACUCUGACAAAGGGAGACCAAGAGUAACCUCUGGUGUGGAAGUUGGCUGGGCACUCGGUGCCUGACUGUGUUAUACUCCUGUUGGACAUGAGCUGUCUCUUAGAUCACCAAUUCAGACAAGGUUACUCCAAGACCAUGAUACAAUAAAGCAAAGCAAGGAUACUUUGUAAUUUUGUGGAAGCACAGACAAAAUCAAUAUCAAUAUGCCACCUACAAAAGAACAAACAGCCCUUCUCUUGGCUAAAAUGAAUGAUGUCUACUUCUUUACCAAUGAAGUUUUAUUUUCGUUCUAGUCAGCUCUCCCUCCAGAUGAGAUUUUUUGAGAUACCCAAUCUUAUAAUUGCCUCCAGCUUUCUGACAGCAUCUAAUUUCAGCAAACUCUCCCCUCCUUCUGUCCUCUCCCAAAUGACCUAACCUAAACCCCAAAUCUACAGAAGGUUAUUUCUAGUACCAUCUUACUGAGGCACCCCAUGAUUCCUCAUGAUACGUGUUAUUUGUCUGUGCAACAGGUAAUAAAUUGAACUUGUUCACUA